GCUUGCUAUUUUUAUGAAGAGCGGCGAACGGGUGAGUAACGCGUGGGAAAUCUGCCGAGUAGCGGGGGACAACGUUUGGAAACGAACGCUAAUACCGCAUAACAAUGAGAAUCGCAUGAUUCUUAUUUAAAAGAAGCAAUUGCUUCACUACUUGAUGAUCCCGCGUUGUAUUAGCUAGUUGGUAGUGUAAAGGACUACCAAGGCGAUGAUACAUAGCCGACCUGAGAGGGUGAUCGGCCACACUGGGACUGAGACACGGCCCAGACUCCUACGGGAGGCAGCAGUAGGGAAUCUUCGGCAAUGGGGGCAGCCCUGACCGAGCAACGCCCGCGUGAGUGAAGAAGGUUUUCGGAUCGUAAAACUCUGUUGUUAGAGAAGAACGUUAAGUAGAGUGGAAAAUUACUUUAAGUGACGGUAUCUAACCAGAAAGGGACGGCUAACUUACGUGCCAGCAGCCGCGGUAAUACGUAGGUCCCAAGCCGUUGUCCGGAUUUAUUGGG
This 500-nucleotide ribosomal RNA is filed under the name uncultured bacterium. RNAcentral's name for it is "bacterial SSU rRNA". It matches the Rfam family "Bacterial small subunit ribosomal RNA", at positions 66 to 558 of the family's 1533-position model. The record is from RNAcentral.